GACUCAACGAUCUGCAUGGUGUUGAAU
RNAcentral lists this non-coding RNA (27 nucleotides) under Bombyx mori (domestic silkworm). Lineage: Eukaryota; Metazoa; Arthropoda; Insecta; Lepidoptera; Bombycidae. The record is from RNAcentral.